Leopardus geoffroyi (Geoffroy's cat) is the source of this 857-nucleotide long non-coding RNA. RefSeq lists it as uncharacterized. NCBI's taxonomy places the organism in Eukaryota, Metazoa, Chordata, Mammalia, Carnivora, Felidae. The record is from RefSeq and is a predicted model, not a curated record. The transcript is spliced from 2 exons.
CAAGUCCCUCCACCUGGUGUGAGACUCCUUCAUUGCCAUAACUUCAAGUGGACAGAUGAUCAUUUCUACUGAGCACUGGGUGUUAUAGAUUAUGCAUUUGGAUUAAGACUGCAUAAUUUAGGUGGCUUGGAACAUCUGGAACAAAUGGAUUGUUUUCUGUGACUCCUUGGAGUUCCACAAAUGCAUGGAAACACCAGACUUAAUUUAUACUGGAUGAGGUCAAUACCAGAUUUUUUUAUGAAGCAGACUAAAAAGGCAAUGAUUGUUCACCGUGCCCCUCUUUCUCUCUACCCUUUCCCCACUUUUUCUCUUCCAGAAUUUAUGUUUUUAAAAAGUCAUUCCCCAUUGAUUACUGUAUCAGCCUGGGGUUUCCAGAGAUAUAGAAAUAUGAGGAUAUAUAUAAAAAGGGAUUUAGUAUAAGAAAUUAGCACAGUUGAUUAUGGAGGCUAAGAAGUCCCAAUAUCUGUAGUCUGAAGUUCUGAAAAACAUAUUCCAGCUCAAAACCAUCAAGCAGAGAGUAAAAUCUCUCUUGCUCAUCCUUUUUGUUCUAGUUAAGCUUUCACUGGAUUGGAGGAAACUCACCCAUUUGGGUAAGGAAAUCUGCUUUGUUCAGUUCAUUAAUUCAGAUGUUAAUCUCAUCCAGAAACAUCCUCAAAAACAUAUCCAGAAUAAUGUUUAUAAAUCUGAACACCAUAUGACCUAGUCAAGCUGAUGCAUAAAAUUAACCAUCAUGAUCAAAAUUUAAGUCUCUGACAUGCUAGCAAGGAAAGACUGGGGAAGAGGGUGCAUCCCCAAACAAAAUAAUAACUAGCUGCUUAACAGGUUUUCCUUCAAUAAACAACUGCUUUUAUACCAAA